CAAGGAGGAGGAGAAAGAAGUGCAGAACAUCGCAAUCUUGAUGUUGCCAGAUGCUGUCCUGUGGGAAGUUCUUCUUCACGUGGUCCUGGAGGAGGGUGACGCUGCAUUGUUUAAGCGGUCUUUGGUUUGUUCCAAACAGACUCAUUUUGAAAGAGGGCACACUUCUGCUGGCUUGACAGUGAUUAGGACGGGAUCCUGGUCGGAGACAGGAGCUAUGCCUGCAGGCAUUACUUCAUGACCCCAACCCUGGACUACAAACCCGUUACAAUGCAGCCAGGACAAGGGCACGCAUUGAAAUGACCUUUUGGGCAACUAAAGGGAAGGUUUCAGUGUCUGAGGGUUGCACCUGACAGGGCAUGCAACAUUGUGGCAUGUGCUGUAUUACACAACAUUGCCACCAUCAGAAAGGAGUGAGUGAGUGAGUGAAGUGACAUGUGGCCAAGUAUGGUGACCCAUACUUGGAAUUAGUGCUCUGCAUUUACCCAUCCAAAGUGCGCACACACACAGCAGUGAACACACACAAACCGUGAACAUACACCCGGAGCAGUGGGCAGCCAUUUAUGCUGCGGCGCCCGCGGAGCAGUUGGGAAGAACAACUUGCUCAAGGGCACCUCAGUCGUGGUACUGAAGGUGGAAGAGAGCGCUGUACAUUCACUCCCCCCACCUACAAUCCCUGCCGGUACGAGACUCGAACCCACAGCCUUUGGGUUAUGAGUCCGACUCUCUAACCAUUAGGCCACGACUUCCUGAAAGGAGAGGACCCC
RNAcentral lists this long non-coding RNA (764 nucleotides) under Sinocyclocheilus grahami. Its description in RNAcentral is "lncRNA (ENSSGRG00000012808.1)". The record is from RNAcentral. Lineage: Eukaryota; Metazoa; Chordata; Actinopteri; Cypriniformes; Cyprinidae.